Molecule: ribosomal RNA, 732 nt
Filed under: uncultured bacterium
Lineage: Bacteria
Description: bacterial SSU rRNA
Rfam family: Bacterial small subunit ribosomal RNA
Source: RNAcentral
GAGUUUGAACCUGGCUCAGGAUGAACGCUGGCGGCGUGCUUAACACAUGCAAGUCGAACGGACCCAUAUUGAAACCUAGUGAUAUAUGGGUUAGUGGCGGACGGGUGAGUAACGCGUGGGCAACCUGCCUUACACAGGGGGAUAACACUUAGAAAUAGGUGCUAAAACCGCAUAAGCGCACAGCUUCGCAUGAAGCGGUGUGAAAAACUCCGGUGGUGUAAGAUGGACCCGCGUCUGAUUAGCUUGUUGGCGGGGUAACGGCCCACCAAGGCGACGAUCAGUAGCCGGCCUGAGAGGGCGGACGGCCACAUUGGGACUGAGACACGGCCCAGACUCCUACGGGAGGCAGCAGUGGGGAAUAUUGCACAAUGGGGGAAACCCUGAUGCAGCGACGCCGCGUGAGUGAAGAAGUAAUUCGUUACGUAAAGCUCUAUCAGCAGGGAAGGAAAUGACGGUACCUGAGUAAGAAGCCCCGGCUAACUACGUGCCAGCAGCCGCGGUAAUACGUAGGGGGCAAGCGUUAUCCGGAUUUACUGGGUGUAAAGGGAGCGUAGACGGUGCGCCAAGUCUGGAGUGAAAUGCCGCAGCUUAACUGCGGAACUGCUUUGGAAGCUGGCGGACUAGAGUGCGGGAGGGGUAAGCGGAAUUCCUAGUGUAGCGGUGAAAUGCGUGGAUAUUAGGAGGAACACCGGUGGCGAAGGCGGCUUACUGACCGUAACUGACGUUGAGGCU